Long non-coding RNA from Suricata suricatta (meerkat), 834 nucleotides. RefSeq lists it as uncharacterized. NCBI's taxonomy places the organism in Eukaryota, Metazoa, Chordata, Mammalia, Carnivora, Herpestidae. The transcript is spliced from 2 exons. The record is from RefSeq and is a predicted model, not a curated record.
GGCAACAAAGGAUCAGGUUAUAAGAAGGCAGCCUAUGGGCUGAAUUUGGUGACUCACUUCUAAGGAAGGCAAUCUGACAGAAGUAAUGGGAUGUCACUCGCAAGGUCAGGUUAUAAAAAAGACUGAAGGACCCAGAGAGGAGGUGCCCUUUAAUGCAGGCCAGGGCACACCGGCCCCACUAUCGCCUCGCUGCGCCCCCUAAUCCCAACGGAGGUCGGGCUGAGAAGAACGGGGAGGAGAACAUCGACCAGCUCAGGGGCAAGCUCCAGUCAGGACACGGGGUCUUCAUCACUGCUACAAGCCUUCCACGGGGAAGAGAGAGAGCGAGGACCCAAGACCAGCACUAAGCGUGUCUGUGCUGUGCUUUGUCCACAGGAGCUGCACCACACCACCUGACGACUGAGCGCAGACCCGGAGCAGGCAGAACUGCUUGUGAGUCUGAUUAAGUCGACUGCCAUGUCACCAGCUAGGUGACUUUAGACCAGUUACUCACCCGCUUCAAGGUCGUUUGCUCUUCUGUAUGAUGGGGACAGCACCCACCUCGUAAGUUGUGGAGAAGCACAUCAUAUACCUAUGUCCACUUCGAAGCACCCUGACAGAAUCUUUUAUGGAAAAGUACCAGGAUUCAAGCACUUCAGCAUCUACUGACACCAGAGUUACCAGACAGAAAGUACCGCUGUCCUGGCGACACACACAGGUUUCAGUUCUCUACAUGACACUGGACUGAGCUGGAGACGGGGCGUGGAGUGGAAAUGAACCAAAAAGAAAAUAAACAGAGCAGACUACUAAUCUGAUCAUGAAUGACCAAAAGUAAGUAAAAAUUCAAUUAAAGAA